Molecule: small RNA, 83 nt
Organism: Alkaliphilus metalliredigens QYMF
Lineage: Bacteria; Bacillati; Bacillota; Clostridia; Peptostreptococcales; Natronincolaceae
Rfam family: Clostridiales-2 RNA
Source: Rfam
AAAAAAGAGGGGUUGUAGGGGAUGAAAUCCCCUGCCUGUACUCAGGAAGGUGCUCAGACAGCUUGGCUGUCGUCGAAGGAAAC